GUGGCCGUAGCUGACUGGUUAUGUUGUUCGCUUUGUAAGCGAAUGGUCUUGGGUUCGAUUCCCAUCUGCUCCC
Molecule: transfer RNA, 73 nt
Organism: Culex pipiens (northern house mosquito)
Lineage: Eukaryota; Metazoa; Arthropoda; Insecta; Diptera; Culicidae
Rfam family: tRNA
About the family: Transfer RNA (tRNA) molecules are approximately 80 nucleotides in length.
Source: Rfam